GUGUGAAUUUUUUAUUUAAGAAGUAGCUAAAAUGUUUUCUUGCAGAGUUAUGACUGAUCAGACUCAGAGCAGAUGGGCAGGGCAGUAUUGAGUCACUUUAAUUAAAUUGUAGCUUCAUUUGCGGAGGUGGUGGUAGGUUGUUGUCUGCCUUUCUUAUAUGUUGUUUUAUAGAUUCUCCCAGUUGUACUUCUCCCAAGAUUUUAGUUUUUAGAGAAAGUGUGGGGCAAGAACUAAUGGAUUGUGUACUUACUUGUCUAUCUGCCUAGUUUUUAUUUCUCUAGGUUCUCUUAUCAGAUAUACUUACAUGAUUACUGAUGUUUGAGUUUAGAAUAUUAGCUCUUUAAGAAGUUUGUUGUUGUGAUGCAGUUUUAAUCUUCCAACUACAUCUCAGUUUUAUUUGUAAUUUAAAAAAACCUUAUUUUUAUUCAUUACAAAUAGAAACCUUUAGUUUGUCAGGAGAAUGAGCAUUUAUGUGCAGCAAUGUAAAUGGACUGUUUUUAAAUGGUCCAUUUAUAGGAAAAGUGUUGAAAUAAGAGGCAAGUAAGAAGUCAGGGAAUAAAAAAUAGUUUGCUGAGCUUGUAAUGCUUUGUUUGACAUUAAAAUAGUUUUUGAAGUUUUGAGGUCCUGAUACUAACAGUGCAAAUCUAGAGGCCUUUGAGAGCACUACUUAUUUAUUCCCACUUAACUCUAGUGGCUAGUUCACAUUAAAAUUCACAGCUGUGAGAAGUUUGUGUGCUUUUAUGAAUUACCUUGCUUCAAUUAAAUUAAGCAAGAGUUUUAAUAUUUAUUAUGAUCAUGUUUUGUUGUCACUAUUUGGCUAUUUUGGCAUCUUUUUAAAGGGGAAACUGUAUGGGAAAGAGUAAUAUGAUACUGUAUUUUAUCUUGUUGUUGAUUAUUCCCAUUAUCUUCUAUCCGAACCGAUAAUUUAUGAAUUUUUUCAUUGACAAGGUUUUAAGAGCUUUUAAAAUGUGUUGAAAAAGUCCCAAGCUGUUAAGUAUUUUUAUUUUCAUACUGCUUUUAUGACUAUGGAAUUGCUAAACUGAAUUAAGGAAAGUUGUAUUUCAAAAAAUGUAGUACAUGCUUUGUAACAAUUUAAAGUUUUAUGUGAAUUAAUACUGAGGCUCUAAACAAAUAACUGUAGUUACAUAUCUUGAUGACCCUUGAUAUGAUUGUUUCAGACUAAUUGUCAACUUUUGAAAUAUUGGACUUUGCUUUUAUAUUGAGGUUUUGAUUCAAAUAAGUCUGUUUUUUUUUUCUUUUUUAAAUUUGGGACUUUAUUUUCUAAUCCUUUUGUUAAAAUGCUGAAACACUAGGCUGAAUAUCCCAGCCUUUUUGAAUUUUCUUAAUUCAAAGGCGGUUUAACCUUCCACCACUACUGCUAUCAUCCAAACCCAAGAAUUCUUGAUAUUUUUAUGUUUACAUAUGCUUCUGCUCACCGGUGCUAAUAGUGAUACCCACCAGUUGGUAAUAGCCACAGUAUUAGGGAAAAAAUUCUGAUAGAAACAUGGCAGUAGACUGGUUUCAAAGUUGUUGUUAGCUCUGCAGUGGGCAAGCAUAGCUUCCUAACUUUCACAGCCAUUCAGUAGAUUUAGUGGAUGCCCUUUUGAAAAAUUACAGUUAGCUAAAAGGCAAUUGACACCAUUAUUCUGGUUAUUGGUAGAGCUAUCAGCACUGGUUUUUUUAAAUAAGUUGAGCUUUUUAGUAUCCUGAUGGCCUUCAGAAUAGCUGUUUUGAUGCCUACUUUUAGAUCUAGUUAAAAUAAUCAGGUACUCUGUAGCUUUGAAACCCUCUUGUCUUACAGAUGUGGUUAGGUGUUGAUGUACCAAAUCAAGGUAGUAAACAAUCCAAGAUGCAGUUGGAGGCCAUCCUGCCCUGCCCUAUGCUCUGUGAACUGACCUAGCUAGGCCUUGUUCCUCUAUCUGUGAAUGCGUGACUCAUCGAUAUGGGCGUUUGUGUUGGGCCCAUACCAACCUUGUUUAGUCCCACAGUGUUUUGUUCGCCCCACGGAGGCCAAGAAAGCCGCAGAUGAGGCCAAGAUGAGAUUUGCCCACAUAGAUGGAGAUCAUCUGACACUGCUGAACGUCUACCAUGCUUUUAAACAAAAUCAUGAAUCGGUUCAGUGGUGUUAUGACAACUUCAUUAACUACAGGUCCCUGAUGUCCGCAGACAAUGUACGCCAGCAGCUAUCUCGAAUUAUGGACAGAUUUAAUUUGCCUCGUCGAAGUACUGACUUUACAAGCAGGGACUAUUAUAUUAAUAUAAGAAAAGCUUUGGUUACUGGGUAUUUUAUGCAGGUGGCACAUUUAGAACGAACAGGGCAUUACUUAACUGUGAAAGAUAACCAGGUGGUUCAGUUGCAUCCCUCUACUGUUCUUGACCACAAACCUGAAUGGGUGCUUUAUAAUGAGUUUGUUCUAACAACAAAGAAUUACAUCCGGACAUGUACAGAUAUCAAGCCAGAAUGGUUGGUGAAAAUUGCCCCUCAAUAUUAUGACAUGAGCAAUUUCCCACAGUGUGAAGCAAAGAGACAGUUGGACCGCAUCAUUGCCAAACUUCAAUCCAAGGAAUAUUCACAGUACUGAAUUCAGUGCUUAGAACUGAAGUUAUUGAGAGGACAGCUUUAAAAGAUGAAUGAACUCAAAAGUUCGAGUUGUGCUCUUCACGUUGGUUCGAUAAUGGCCUUUAUUUGAAAGCUUUUUAAUUUUUCUUUACAGUAAAUAUUCCAUUCUGAUUUCAUAAAUUAAACAUUUAUGCCUCCCUUUUGUGUUGACACUGUAGCUCAUACUGGAAAAGUCGAUCAAUGUUUUGCAGUUUAUUGAAAGUAGUUCUAUAUAUAACAAUGUUAUAAGCAUUUCUUUAGAAAUGGUUGAAAAUGCUUCUAAAAUGUGAUUAUCGACCAUGGUAUGCAUGAUCGUUGUAAUUGUUGACAUUCCUUUUAGAAGUUGUGAAAUGUUACAACUUGUGCUUAUGUAGACACAAUCUUCUGUCUCAGUACAGAGGCACUGACUUCAAUAAAGUCUAUUUAUACUAA
This 3031-nucleotide small RNA is filed under the name Pan troglodytes (chimpanzee). RNAcentral describes it as "processed transcript". The record is from RNAcentral. Lineage: Eukaryota; Metazoa; Chordata; Mammalia; Primates; Hominidae.